RNAcentral lists this ribosomal RNA (104 nucleotides) under Salmonella enterica subsp. enterica serovar Brancaster. Its description in RNAcentral is "partial 23S ribosomal RNA". It matches the Rfam family "Bacterial large subunit ribosomal RNA", at positions 1 to 95 of the family's 2925-position model. Lineage: Bacteria; Pseudomonadati; Pseudomonadota; Gammaproteobacteria; Enterobacterales; Enterobacteriaceae. The record is from RNAcentral.
GGGUUGUGAGGUUAGGCGACUAAGCGUACACGGUGGAUGCCCUGGCAGUCAGAGGCGAUGACGGGCGUGCUAAUCUGCGAUAAGCGCCGGUAAGGUGAUAUGAA